This 274-nucleotide ribosomal RNA is filed under the name uncultured bacterium. RNAcentral describes it as "partial 16S ribosomal RNA". It matches the Rfam family "Bacterial small subunit ribosomal RNA", at positions 523 to 796 of the family's 1533-position model. The record is from RNAcentral.
AUACGGAGGGUGCAAGCGUUAUUCGGAAUCACUGGGCGUAAAGGACGCGUAGGCGGGUUGGCAAGUCAGAUGUGAAAUCCUACAGCUUAAUUGUAGAACUGCAUUUGAAACUGCUAACCUAGAGUAUGGGAGGGGGAGAUGGAAUUAGUGGUGUAGGGGUAAAAUCCGUAGAUAUCACUAGGAAUACCGAAAGCGAAGGCGAUCUCCUGGAACAUAACUGACGCUAAGGCGUGAAAGCGUGGGGAGCAAACAGGAUUAGAAACCCUAGUAGUCC